AUUGAACGCUGGCGGCAGGCCUAACACAUGCAAGUCGAACGGUAACAGGAAGAAGCUUGCUUCUUUGCUGACGAGUGGCGGACGGGUGAGUAAUGUCUGGGAAACUGCCUGAUGGAGGGGGAUAACUACUGGAAACGGUAGCUAAUACCGCAUAACGUCGCAAGACCAAAGAGGGGGACCUUCGGGCCUCUUGCCAUCGGAUGUGCCCAGAUGGGAUUAGCUAGUAGGUGGGGUAACGGCUCUCCUAGGCGACGAUCCCUAGCUGGUCUGAGAGGAUGACCAGCCACACUGGAACUGAGACACGGUCCAGACUCCUACGGGAGGCAGCAGUGGGGAAUAUUGCACAAUGGGCGCAAGCCUGAUGCAGCCAUGCCGCGUGUAUGAAGAAGGCCUUCGGGUUGUAAAGUACUUUCAGCGGGGAGGAAGGGAGUAAAGUUAAUACCUUUGCUCAUUGACGUUACCCGCAGAAGAAGCACCGGCUAACUCCGUG
RNAcentral lists this ribosomal RNA (490 nucleotides) under uncultured bacterium. RNAcentral's name for it is "partial 16S ribosomal RNA". It matches the Rfam family "Bacterial small subunit ribosomal RNA", at positions 30 to 507 of the family's 1533-position model. The record is from RNAcentral.